This 47-nucleotide non-coding RNA is filed under the name unclassified sequences. Its description in RNAcentral is "DUF3800-XI RNA". It matches the Rfam family "DUF3800-XI RNA". Rfam says of the family: Actinobacteria, Firmicutes, Proteobacteria, Spirochaetes (1 example). The record is from Rfam by way of RNAcentral.
UGGGCUGGUCGAAAGACCCAGGUCCAUCUUUGGCGGGCCAGACGCUC